CGGAGUGCCUAUCACCAGCCGCGUUGUGAGAAGGCCUUCGGGUUGUAAAGACAACAGCAGUGAGGAAGGUUGGCGUGUUAAUAGCACAUUGAUUUGACGUUAGCUGCAGAAGAAGCACCGGCUAACUCCGUGCCAGCAGCCGCGGUAAUACGGAGGGUGCGAGCGUUAAUCGGAAUUACUGGGCGUAAAGCGCAUGCAGGCGGUUUGUUAAGCAAGAUGUGAAAGCCCCGGGCUCAACCUGGGAACCGCAUUUUGAACUGGCAGGCUAGAGUCUUGUAGAGGGGGGUAGAAUUUCAGGUGUAGCGGUGAAAUGCGUAAAGAUCUGAAGGAAUACCGGUGGCGAAGGCGGCCCCCUGGACAAAGACUGACGCUCAGAUGCGAAAGCGUGGGGAGCAAACAGGAUUAGAUACCCUGGUAGUCCACGCUGUAAACGAUGUCUACUUGGAGGUUGUGACCUAGAAUCGUGGCUUUCGGAGCUAACGCGUUAAGUAAACCGCCUGGGGAGUACGGUCGCAAGAUUAAAACUCAAAUGAAAUUGACGG
RNAcentral lists this ribosomal RNA (542 nucleotides) under uncultured bacterium. Its description in RNAcentral is "bacterial SSU rRNA". It matches the Rfam family "Bacterial small subunit ribosomal RNA", at positions 376 to 916 of the family's 1533-position model. The record is from RNAcentral.